This 259-nucleotide unclassified non-coding RNA is filed under the name Sordariomycetes sp. RNAcentral's name for it is "partial contains 5.8S ribosomal RNA, internal transcribed spacer 2, and large subunit ribosomal RNA". The record is from RNAcentral. Lineage: Eukaryota; Fungi; Ascomycota; Sordariomycetes.
CGCACAUUGCGCCCGCCAGUAUUCUGGCGGGCAUGCCUGUUCGAGCGUCAUUUCAACCCCUCAGGCCCUGGUGCCUGGCGUCGGGGCGUUCCCUCGCGGGAAGCCCCCAGAGACAGUGGCGGACCAGUCGCGGCUCCGAGCGCAGUAGUAACAUUCUCGCUUAGGAGGUCUGCGGCGGGCUCCCGGCCGUAAAACCUCAGCUCCGGCUGAACUUCUCAAGGUUGACCUCGGAUCAGGUAGGAAUACCCGCUGAACUUAA